Molecule: long non-coding RNA, 199 nt
Organism: Pogonomyrmex barbatus (red harvester ant)
Lineage: Eukaryota; Metazoa; Arthropoda; Insecta; Hymenoptera; Formicidae
Source: RefSeq, a predicted model, not a curated record
CAUACUUUUUAUUUCUCAGCAGAAUUUGUCAAUAAUAAAGGAUGGUUUCUGAGAUAUAAUGGCAAUUUUUGGAUUAGUUUAUUUGAUACUUUAAUGCUAUCAGUCGAUAUUUAUUUUCUUUCGAGCGGUUGUUUAGUGACUUAUUUAUAUCUGAGAGAUAAAACUAAUAAAGAAUUGAUUAAGCCAAUUGGUUACAGAC